UGCGUAGGCGGGUUUCUAAGUCAGAGGUGAAAGCCUGGAGCUCAACUCCAGAACUGCCUUUGAUACUGGAAGUCUUGAGUAUGGCAGAGGCGAGUGGAACUGCGAGUGUAGAGGUGAAAUUCGUAGAUAUUCGCAAGAACACCAGUGGCGAAGGCGGCUCACUGGGCCAUUACUGACGCUGAGGCACGAAAGCGUGGGGAGCAAACA
RNAcentral lists this ribosomal RNA (207 nucleotides) under uncultured bacterium. RNAcentral describes it as "partial 16S ribosomal RNA". It matches the Rfam family "Bacterial small subunit ribosomal RNA", at positions 568 to 774 of the family's 1533-position model. The record is from RNAcentral.